GAUGAAGAACGUAGCGAAAUGCGAUACGUAAUGUGAAUUGCAGAAUUCAGUGAAUCAUCGAGUCUUUGAACGCUCAUUGCGCCCCCUGGUAUUCCGGGGGGCAUGCCUGUCCGAGCGUCAUUGCUGCCCUCAAGCACGGCUUGUGUGUUGGGCCUCCGUCCUCCUCCCGGGGGACGGGCCCGAAAGGCAGCGGCGGCACCGCGUCCGGUCCUCGAGCGUAUGGGGCUUCGUCACCCGCUCUUGUAGGCCCGGCCGGCGCUUGCCGACACAUCAAUCUUUUUUCCAGGUUGACCUUGGAUCAGGUAGGGAUACCCGCUGAACUUAAGCAUAUCAAUAAGCGGAGGA
This 345-nucleotide unclassified non-coding RNA is filed under the name soil metagenome. RNAcentral describes it as "partial contains 5.8S ribosomal RNA, internal transcribed spacer 2, and large subunit ribosomal RNA". The stretch from base 1 to 120 matches the Rfam family "5.8S ribosomal RNA", at positions 35 to 154 of the family's 154-position model. The record is from RNAcentral.